UACGAAGGGGGCUAGCGUUGCUCGGAAUGACUGGGCGUAAAGGGCGCGUAGGCGGAUGGCACAGUCAGAUGUGAAAUUCCCGGGCUUAACCUGGGGGCUGCAUUUGAUACGUGUGAUCUAGAGUGAGGAAGAGGGUCGUGGAAUUCCCAGUGUAGUGGUGAAAUGCGUAGAUAUCGGGAGGAACACCAGUGGCGAAGGCGACUAUCUGGGCUGAAACUGACGCUGGAGGCGCGAAAGGCUAGGGGAGCAAACAGG
RNAcentral lists this ribosomal RNA (255 nucleotides) under uncultured bacterium. Its description in RNAcentral is "partial 16S ribosomal RNA". It matches the Rfam family "Bacterial small subunit ribosomal RNA", at positions 524 to 776 of the family's 1533-position model. The record is from RNAcentral.